CUACACGACCGUACCGCAAACCGACACUGGUGCGCGAGAUGAGUAUUCUAAGGCGCUUGAGAGAACUCAGGAGAAGGAACUCGGCAAAUUGACACCGUAACUUCGGAAGAAGGUGUGCCUUUAGUAGGUGAACCUGUACAAGGGGAGCCCAAUGAGGUUGCAAAAAAUCGGUGGCUGCGACUGUUUAAUAAAAACACAGCACUCUGCAAACACGAAAGUGGACGUAUAGGGUGUGACGCCUGCCCGGUGCUGGAAGAUUAAAUGAUGGGGUGCAAGCUCUUGAUUGAAGUCCCAGUAAACGGCGGCCGUAACGAUAACGGUCCUAAGGUAGCGAAAUUCCUUGUCGGGUAAAUUCCGACCUGCACGAAUGGCGUAACGAUGGCCACACUGUCUCCUCCUGAGACUCAGCGAAGUUGAAAUGUUUGUGAUGAUGCAAUCUCCCCGCGGAAAGACGGAAAGACCCCAUGAACCUUUACUGUAGCUUUGUAUUGGACUUUGAACAGAUCUGUGUAGGAUAGGUGGGAGGCUUUGAAGUGUGGUCGCUAGAUCGCAUGGAGCCAACGUUGAAAUACCACCCUGGUGUGUUUGAGGUUCUAACCUAGGCCCGUAAUCCGGGUCGGGGACAGUGCAUGGUAGGCAGUUUGACUGGGGCGGUCUCCUCCCAAAGCGUAACGGAGGAGUUCGAAGGUACGCUAGGUACGGUCGGACAUCGUGCUAAUAGUGCAAUGGCAUAAGCGUGCUUAACUGCGAGACUGACAAGUCGAGCAGAUGCGAAAGCAGGACAUAGUGAUCCGGUGGUUCUGUAUGGAAGGGCCAUCGCUCAACGGAUAAAAGGUACUCUGGGGAUAACAGGCUGAUACCGCCCAAGAGUUCAUAUCGACGGCGGUGUUUGGCACCUCGAUGUCGGCUCAUCUCAUCCUGGGGCUGUAGCCGGUCCCAAGGGUAUGGCUGUUCGCCAUUUAAAGAGGUACGUGAGCUGGGUUUAAAACGUCGUGAGACAGUUUGGUCCCUAUCUUCCGUGGGCGCUGCAGAUUUGAGGAAGCCUGCUCCUAGUACGAGAGGACCGGAGUGGACACACCUCUGGUGUAUCGGUUGUCACGCCAGUGGCAUUGCCGAGUAGCUAUGUGUGGAAGAGAUAACCGCUGAAAGCAUCUAAGCGGGAAACUCGUUUCAAGAUGAGAUCUGCCGGGGCCUUGAGCCCCCUAAAGAGUCGUUCAAGACCAGGACGUUGAUAGGUCGGGUGUGGAAGCGCAGUAAUGCGUUAAGCUAACCGAUACUAAUUGCUCGUGCGGCUUGACCA
RNAcentral lists this ribosomal RNA (1300 nucleotides) under metagenome. Its description in RNAcentral is "bacterial LSU rRNA". It matches the Rfam family "Bacterial large subunit ribosomal RNA", at positions 1634 to 2925 of the family's 2925-position model. The record is from RNAcentral.